GUGCUUGUUUCAACAGCACAGAUACUAACCUCAGAAUGAUACAGAGAAGAUUAGCAUGGCCCCUGGCCAAGGAUGACACAAAAAUGCUACAACAAAUAAAAAGCCUGA
This is a small nuclear RNA of Callithrix jacchus (white-tufted-ear marmoset), 108 nucleotides long. The record is from Ensembl. Lineage: Eukaryota; Metazoa; Chordata; Mammalia; Primates; Cebidae.